GAUAUAGACUGACAGGAAUUGUGUGAAGGAAAAUAGCUACCCCGACCUCCGUGGCAGAUCAGCCCAGAACUGAGCGUGAAAUGGCUUCCAGGAACUAACAAGAAAAAAAAAAAUGCCUCUCAAGGAAGCCCAUCUUUCGUUCCAGGAUGUGGGACUUGCAUGGCUGUUGCCUAAGGCAGAAGAGAACUAGGCGAGCAAAGCAGCGAGGGACAAAAGCCUUUCCAAGAACCAGAUGUUCUGUUCAAGGCAGUUUGUGUUUGCCUGGCCCCAGCAUUGCCUUGAGAUCAUCAUUGCCUGCUAUUUGCCAGGAUAGCAGUGUCAGUCUAAGCUUCUAGUGCCAUGAGACGCUGGAAAAGUUAAGGCAAUGGAGACACCCAUCAUACACGAGGAAAUGACAGGCGCAGACGAGCUACCUGAAGAUACUCUUAAGCCCUGACCUACUCAGGCUGUUCAGUGCCUAUUUCACACAAAGGGUACAACUAGGCGGAGGGGCCAGGGGUGUAGACAUCCUGCUGGCCUGUUCCCUUUCCAGUGCUGUGCCCUGGGAACCUGUGCUCCAGCCUAGAGAAGAGGGUUUCUUUGUGUAAUUCAUCUUCCCAAGGGCAGCUGCACUUUUUGACAGUGACUGUAUGCCUCCAGAGGAGCCUAGUUGUGUAACAAAAACCUUAGCCUCAUUAAGCAACAACUCCAUUAUAAUCCUGGAAUCAGAUGCUUAGGUAGACAGUUCUACUCGUCCCACUUGUGUCCUUUCAUGCCAGUGCCUCACAGAGGUGGAAGAAUGUUGGAUAUCUGGCACCUCUGUGUCCCUUAAUAACGCUCUUCCAUCGAUGGUGAGAGUGCUUCCUUAUGGCUUUGUGGACCGUCUCCUCCAUCUGGAGGUCAUUCUGACCCACAAUCAGGGCAGCUCAGGAAUCUAAAGAGGAGGGAGCAGAAGCCCUCAAGUCUUCGAAAGCAUCCCUCUUUGUCUGUAUUCCAUCCACCAAGCAAGCACAAGCCCGGUGUGGAUUUGAGAGAGGAGGCAAGCCAGGGAGCAGUUGUACGCGCACGGCCUGAUGGACUUACUCAGCGCCAUUGAGAUAGACUCGCCCUGCAAAGACUGGGGUCCCCAGGAAUGCAUGGUAUUGUUCAAACUGAUUACAGUGACAAAAACGUAAUGAAGGCUGCCUGAUCAAGCCAAUCCUGACAGACUCAACUGCCAAGGAACCAGAAUGCUUUAUUAUAGAAGCAGGUAGAAUUGAGAGAAGAUGCCUGGAAACCUUAUAAACCAGAAAACAGGACUUCUGCUCUGAGCUCAACAUGCUCCCUUGCAGACUCACCUUAGAGGAUCAACCAGAACGGGACGAGACAGCAGCUGUCUCCCAACACACCAGAAGAGGGCGUCAGAUCUCAUUACAGAUGGUUGUGAGACACCAUGUGGUUGCUGGAAUUUGAACUCAGGACCUUGAGAAGAGCAGUCUGUGCUCCUAACCACGGAGCCAUCUCUCCAGCCCCUGCUCUCUGCUCCUUAACUGCAGAUGCUCCUGCUGCAGUGACUUCCCUACACUGAUGGACUGGAACCUGGAACUGUGAGCUGAACUAUAUUCUCAGCAACAAGAGAAACUCCGCACAGCUCCCAGGAAGAUUUAUUGCAUCUUUCCAAAUGUGUGUGUGUGUAUGUGUGUGUGUGUGUGUGUGUGUGUGUGUGUGUGUGUGUGUGUGUGUGUUUGGCCUUGUGCAUGUAAAUGCAAUGCCCAGAGACCAGAGACAUUGGAUCCCCCUGGAGCAGCCUGACAAGGAUGCUGGGAACUGAAUCUGGAUCCUCGGUAAGAGCAGCACACACACUUAACCGCUGAGGCUUCUGUCCAGCCCCGACUAAUAUUUAGCACAACUGUUGAAAUGCUAGGGUUAAGUCAGUCAUUUAAAUAUUUGGGUUUUACAAAUUCCUUCUGUUUGCUGUGUGUCUGACUGUUGUUUUUGUUUGUUUGUUUGUUUUGCUUCGCUUUUCCAGGCCUUCUAUUGGCUGCUUGGCCUUCCAUGUAUAUCCAUAAAGCUGUUGCAGUUGUAUCCCAUUGUAGUUUUCUAGUGCAUUAUCAUAUCCAUAAACAACUUCUUACAACCUACUGCUGUCAUUUCGCCCUUUAUAUCCUUUGGUCCAUUGGGUGCUAGAGGUAGAAUCCAAGGCUUUAUGGGUCCUAGAUACACUGUCUACCAAUGAGCCACACCAUCACCAAACUCCUGUCACUUAAAAUGUGUCAUCUCCUCAAGUCAUUGCUCCACAUGCAUUGAGCACCUUAGACGACCAUCUGAUCAUCCUACUUUAACCAUAAAGUGUGAGUAAGAGAACUCAUUCGGUGAAGAACCUGUUACAUUUAUGUCUGCUUACCCACCUCAUUGUGUUUUCCUCUUAGAAGCAUCAGCUAUCACUUUCUGCAGCUCUGCAGAGCUCCCUUUAGCCAUUCUUUAAAGGUAGGUCUGCCAAGGAGGGGGAUUCUGCAGGUGUCCAGGCAGGGAAGUGAACCCACGAAGAGAUGACAAUGAGAACUUGGUUUCAGAUUGACUUUGUCAACCUGGAUCAGACUUCAGGGAGUCUAAAGCCAGGCAGGGCAUUGUCAGCAUAUUUAAAACACAGUGCAAUCUGGAAAAAAUGUCCAGGCAACAGUCAUUCCCAUUCCAGGUUUCCAGGCAACAAUCAUUCCAAUUCCAGGUGCUCAAUAAAGCUUAAGGUGUGACUACUUAGAAACUCAUUUGCAAAGUACAUAUGACCAAGACGGCGGGUUCUAUGGGUAAAGGGCCUAGAAUCCAGCUUGCUCUCUGACUGAGUUAGCUUAGAGGUCAGCAGGCUAUAAAGUCCAUGGGACAUCCUCCCCUAAGGAUGUGUUCUGUUAACUGAGAGCUAGGGAGCAAGUCUAGGAUAAACAUUGUAGGGGAUUUAGGUGAGGUCUGCCUCUAUAACAAAAGCUGGGUGAGGCCAGCCUCCACAGAUAGGCAUAGGGUCACCAGAUAGGCAUUAGCAAUAUCUACUCCCAGCCCUCUGGGUGGGAAGAAAAGAUAUUUUUAUCUCCUCCAUUGUGGAGAGGCCUCUGUGUGUUUAACAUUCUUGGUUCGCCAGGGCUCUGUGGCCACAGGAUUUUUGUGCCCCAACAUGCCAGCAGCAACUUCUUUCAUUUCCCUUUACUUGGGGUGUCCUCUUUGUCUUUAAUUCCAUAACAACAAUUUGACUUGUGUGUGGUCUGGGGGUCUUGGUUCUUCUAGCAACCUGAGGGGUGCCAUGUCCUCCUACCCAUCAUUUCAGACGAGACUCCUACCAGUUUCUAAUUGUUCUUUCAUAGGGACUUGCCCCCUUUCUCUUAACUGCUUUAAAGAUUUUUAAGUUGGUUUUGGUUUGAGAGGUUUAAUUAUGUGUCUUAUGGACUUCUUAGAGCUUCUAUUUGAGAGUCAUUCCUAUUCUUAGAUCUGUAGACUUACAUCUUUCACCAAGGAAAUAUCCAGUCAUUCGGUGUCUGGUUCAAAUCUUGUCCUCACCUCCUAGAAACUUUAUGGUAUCAAUUCUUUUUCUAUACAGCUUCUCCUUAUCUUCAGAGCUAUGUUCCAAGACUUACAGCAUUGCUGCUUAAAACUACAGUUUAUAUACUGUUUACUCUCCUACACAUGCAUUCCCAUGAUAAAGCUUAAUUUAUGAAUAAAUUAAAUCGUUCAUUAGGCACAAUGAGGUCAAUAAAAGAACUAACAGCAAAAUCGGACAAUUAUAACAAUAUUGUACAAUACAAGUUUAUACAUUGGAGCCAUUAUUAAUUAAUGUAAUGGUUAGCUGAACAUGACACUGCAGUACCAUGACAGUUCAUCCAAUGUCUGCUAAGUGACUAAUGCACAUGGAGUAUAUGACAAGGGAUGCUUUGUUUCCUGCUUGAGCUGGACCAAGGCAGCGUGCAGUUUUAUUUUGCCACUUGGAAUGACAUACAGUUCAAAAGUUAUAAACUGGUUUUGUUUUGUUUGUUUUGUUUGAGAAAGAGUUUUUCUGUGUAGCUCUGGCUGUUCUGGAACUCAAUCUAUAGACCAAGCUCUCCUCGAACUCACAGAGAUCAACCUGCCUCUGCCUCUCAAGUGCUGGGAAUAAAGGUCGUGCCACUGCACCUGGCUGGGAACUAUUUCUUUAAUGUUUCCCAAACAUUUUCCCACUGCCCUUGACCAUGGAUAGCUGAAACCGUGGACAGUGAGAUCCCAGGGAGCAAUUACAUUGUACCACAAGUCUCAGCUUAGUUUCCCUUUGCAGUCUGUUUUUUUCUAUUAUUCAGUCUGAAUAACUUCCUUCAGUCUGUCUUUAGGUUGAAAGACUCCUCUGUCACCACAUGAGAACAACUGAAAUCGGUAAGCCUCGCGCGUGGUGUGACUAAGUCUGUCUGGUAAGCUUUGAAGUUGUAAUUCUUGCGUUUUCCAGUUUUAUAAGUGCCCCCUCCCCCCACCCUUUCAGAGCUCCUUUUCCUUUGUUGAGAUGUUUCUUUUUAAAAAUAUUUCAACAGAAUUUGUAAAUGACCACUGAUGCACUUUUAUGAUGGGUACUUUAAAAUCCUUCCCAUAUCAUCCCAACAUGUUAGUUGAUUCAUGUUAGUGCUGGCAUAGGUUGUCAUCGCUAAUGCAAUUUGUGGUUUUCCUGGUUCUGGGUUUGAUGAAUGAUUCUCUGCCGCACCCUUCCUAUUUUGGUUUUUGGACGAGAGGACCUUUAAUCCUCCUUAAAUGUCUUAUUUCAGCAUGCUCUCUCCCAGGUUAGCGUGCACUUCUGUCUCCCUUUGUGGGCUUUAGCUCUGACAAUAGCUUGUGUUUUGAGCUCUUGCAGCACCAUCCUGGGCUGCUUUGUUUUUCUGAUACUGCUGUGUCACCUCCUGUCCCCCUUCCUCCCUUCUGUCCCUGCUUUCAUCAUCUGUGACAGCAGAUGGCACAUGUGUCUUUGGCAUUGUCUAGGUGGCCUUUGGGAGAGAAAGGGAAGAAGCCCUAGUCUCUUUACCCCACCGUGAAGACACUGAGCUUGGCUGGUGGCACUGCCUUAGGUCUAUCUGGUUGUAGAGUAGGGUCUGGGACUUGCCAAGCUGCCACUGCUGCUGAGGACAGUGGCCUCAGGUAGUGCCACAGCUAGGGCUGUAGCUGGGGAACAGUUCUAUGUCCUUCCAUGGCUCGGUCCUGGGAACCUGACUAGGGGUGAUGGGAGAAUGAAGAGAGGACAAGGACACACAGACACAGGUACAGAAAACUUGAGGUCGGGUGGGCUGUGCUGAUGGAGAGACAACAGCAUGGAUGCUCAGCAUAUUUAUUACAUACAGCUGAGCAGGGAGCAGGUUUAGUGUAUACAGUAAGCAAGGAGGCAAGAGUUAUACGGAAGAUGAGCAAGGGGGCAUUUGAACAAGGGGUAGGGCUAGUCCAUACAGCUGAACAAGGAGGCAGGGCUAGGUAAUCUCUGUAGGAGCAGUCUCUGCAACAGAACAGCCUUCAGCCCGUAAACAAGUGAAAGAAGAAGGCUGGACCUCCCUACGCUCACCAACGGCAUUCACACUUGGGCCAGAGAAAGGCUUUGCCAUCUCUCUAACCUCACCCAGGGAAGGCUUUGCCAUGGGUCUAGGCAUUGGGGUGAAUAUACAUUCACACGAGACUUAAUCACUCCCAACAGAACAGCUGGUACAAUGAGGGAUUUCACCACUCUGCUGAUGCAAGUCCAUUGUAUAGUACUGUCUGUAGGGCAGCAUGUGCAUUUUGAAGGUGUGUGUGUGUGUGUGUGUGUGUGUGUGUGUGUGUGUUUGUGUGUGUGUGUGUGUGUGUGUGAUAUGUGUGUGCAUGGCUGUGUGUGCACAGAGAUCAGAGGAGGAUGUCAGAUGUCCCUCAAUCAUUCUCAGCCUUAAUCCAUUGAGACAAGGCCUGUCACUGAACCAGGAGCUAAGCAAAUGCCAGCAAGCCCUGCUGGUCCUUAUGCUGUGUUUCUGCCCCGCUAAAGUGCGGGUAUUAUAGGUUCUUGGAUGGCCAUACCUAGCUAUUUACAUGGGUGCUGGGGAUUCAAACCCAGAUCUCCAUGCUGACUCACUGAGACAUUUCCCUGGACCCAACAUACUGAAGUUUGAAGUUUAAAUCUGUUUUUUUGUUGUUGUUGUUGUUUUUUUUUUUUAGCUUUGCUUAUAUGAUUUGGAGUCGAAGACAAAUGUGACUCAAGUGUCCCCCUUUUCAUUCUCUCUCUUUGGGGGAGGGUUGCUCCCCUUUCUUAAUUCUUUUGUUGUAUUUUUCAUGGGGCUUUUAAUUUGCAGAAUCCUCUGUGCAGAUGUGCAGGUGACACCCAGGCCUGCCAUGAGAACCAAGGGCCCCACACAGAGGCAUGCACCUGGCCCUUUCUGCUGUGCAUCUGUGCUCAUAGCCUGCUCUUCACCCCAGUGAUGCUUACUAAAGUUCUGGCCUUUCUCCUCCUUUUAAAGUCAGACGAGGAAUCUGAGUUUUGUUUCUUUUAUUCUUUAUUUUUAUUGGAAUUUUAAAGCAGCCCUUAUUGAGGUCACAUUUGGUUUGUGUUUAUUUCAUUUUUAUGAAAUUUUCCUCCUACUCUCUUGGUAACUAUGCCUUCCUCGUUUUCUUUCUACAAGUGAAAGAAAAAGUCAUCUCUCUUGUUUUCAAUUGUCUUCAUUUUAUAAAACUUCUCGAGACUAUUUUUUUCCCUUGAUGUUUUGUUUUUUGUUUUGGAGUACUCAAGAACUUUGAACAUCCAAUAUUCUAAUUGGCAUUACUUCCAGAGAAUUACUGUUUCACUUUUUUUUUAUUUUAAAGAAAGUAGUUAUUUAUGCCAGGCAUGGUAGUGCCUACCUUUUGUCCCAGCCCUGUCCCAGGCAGAGAUAAGUGGAUCUCUGCAAGUUAAAGGCCAGCCUGAUCUACAGAGUGAGUUCCAGGACAGCCAGGGCUACACAGGAGAAAUCCUGUCUCCAACAAAGAAGGAGAUGGAGUGGGGAGGAAGGGGAUGGCGAGGGGAGGGGAGGGGAGAAGGUUGGGAGGAGGGGAGGAAGAAGAGUGAGGAGGAAGAGGAGAAGGAGGAAAGACGAAGAAAAAUACAAAAACAGACAGACAGAAGUUAUUUGUGAGUUUUGAACUUCUGACUGGUGUUAGAAUUAUCAUAAGUUCCAAGAGGGUAAGGAUGAAACAGGGUGAGGCGAAGCUUUGUAUUAAUUUCUUAGUUACUGCCUCAUGGUAAGGAGAUAAUAUACUCCUACGUUUUUAAAUUCCCUUAGAUGUCCCUAUGGCUGAGUAAAGUGAUUUUGGUAAAUGCUUCAUGCAUAUUUGAAGAGAUGAUCAUCUCAAGGGAUUCACUGUGUUAUACAGACAAUAAAGCAAAGAACUUUCAUUGAAGCUUUGAGACAAGGACUUGUAUGUAAUGGUUGUGUCCUGCUCUUCCACUCUCUGGGCUCUGGAAAGUCUUUCUUGUAGGGGGCUACCCUGCACAUCAUGGAAUGCUUAGCAUCCUUGGCCUCUAACCUACUAGAUGACAGUAACAUCUCUGCCAGUUCUUUCAUCCAGAAAUAAACAGCCCUCUGGGUACAGAAUUAUCCCAACUUGGGAACCAGCGCUGCUCUAAGGUUUUAUAUCUAUGAAUUGAAAUUUAAUCCACAUCAUAAAUAUAUAUCAUACAUUGUGAUUUUGCAAAUAACAGUCUAUAAACAGAACAAAUAUUCAUAAAUAGAAGUCCAAGGAAGUUAAAUGUCAUCUAAGUAUCCUUUGUAGUUAUGAAUAGAACCAAAAACAAACAAAAAAUCAAACCCAGGGAGCUGGGGGAGUGGGUAAGAAGACUUGUUGUGCAAGCAUGGGGACCUGAGUUCAAAUCCCAAGAGUACACAUAAAUAACCUAGCAUGACUGCAGACAUAGGUCUGUAAGGCCGGAGCUGAAGGAGGGAGAGUCAGGAAGAUUGCUCAGGCCUGCUCCCUGCCAGCCUGGCUCCAGGUUCAGUGUGAGAGACCCUGUCUUGGGGGAUAUGGCAGAGUGUGAUAGAACGGACACUCGGUAUCCUCUUCUGGUCUCCACAUGUAUCCACAGCACACACAUGCAUCAUACACACACAUAAACACACAGAGGAAAAAACCAGAAUCAACUUACAUGCAGUUCUGUACAUAGUGUAACAUGAAUACAAAGAAAUAUGGAGCAGAUUAACUGCUUAACGUAUUUGCGAUGAGUCUCAGAACCAACAGGAGAGAGAAAUUAAGGCGCAGACAUCUUUUAGCUAAACAAAGCACUCAGCGUCACUUCUCAUCUCCCCAUGGAUUCUAAUUAGCUUUCCUUGACAUUUAUUCUCCCACUUCCGGAACUGUCCCCGUGACUGUGAAGGUCAUAGCUUUGAGUCUCCUUUUCUUGGCUUGCCUUUUUCAGGAAGCUGGUUUCCCUCGAGUGUUAAUGGCUGGCUCUCUUCCUCCUGUUCUUAUUUACGUGGAAGAAAGGAGCAGGAUGUUGGGGUAGGACUUUUUGACUGACGAUGUCAUCACGACACAGACAGGGAUUACAGACACCCUUCUCCCAAGCUGGCACUGCUGGUCAUUGCCAGGAAGCUGGGAAGGAUGCCAGAAUACACCCGGGGUUGGAGGUCUCGAGCACCUCCAAGGAUACUGCCAUAGCCCUAUUUGCCCACUCCCCAUUACUGUGGGAUACUUUACCUGCUGGCAUCCCCUCCCCCUUAUGUCAGGGGACCCUAGGACCUUUAUACCUGGGCUUUCAUUUCUGUAAGGUUUUGAGGAAACAGCAGAAAGCCAAUGCACACAGCUAAGUCAGUUGAUACUUGAGAGUUCGUUUCUAACCUCCAGAUAUUUCUCUUCUUUCUUGCCCAUGCUUGUUAAAUGUACAUGUGUGCAAAAGUCAUCCCUCCAUAGAGAUUCUGGACAGGUUACAUGCCACCCCUCAAGAUACCCAACCCCAAGAAUGCUCCAAACUUUUAAUAAAAUGACAUCUAACUUCACAUAUGUGUAUACAUUUACUCAUGCCUAUGACACCAUAGAUUUUAAGUUAUCUCUAGACUGUUUACAAUACCCAAUACAUUGUCGUUGCUGUGUAACUGAUUGCUGUAGUGUGUUAUUUAGAGAAUAAUGACAAUAAAAAUAAGGCUUGGAGCACUA
Molecule: long non-coding RNA, 9090 nt
Organism: Mus musculus (house mouse)
Lineage: Eukaryota; Metazoa; Chordata; Mammalia; Rodentia; Muridae
Product: predicted gene, 36411
Exons: 4
Source: RefSeq, a predicted model, not a curated record